GGCAACCGAUAGGUAGGGGGUCUGAGAGAUUAUCCCCACACACUGGUACUGAGACACGGACCACGACUCCUACGGGAGGCAGGUGAGGAAUAUUAGGUCAAUGGAGGCAACUCUGAACCAGCCACUGCCGCGUGCAGGAUGCUGCCCUAUGGGUUAGUAAACUGCUUUUAUACAGGAAGAAACUUACUCUACGUGUAGAUCUGACGGUACUGUAAGAAAUAAGGACCGGCUAACUCCGUGCCAGCACGCCGCGGUAAUAGGAGGGUCCAAGCGUUAUACCGGAAUCAUUGGGUUUAAAGGGUCCGCAGCGCGGUCAAAGUCAGAGGUGAAA
This 331-nucleotide ribosomal RNA is filed under the name uncultured Tenacibaculum sp. RNAcentral describes it as "bacterial SSU rRNA". It matches the Rfam family "Bacterial small subunit ribosomal RNA", at positions 271 to 599 of the family's 1533-position model. The record is from RNAcentral. Lineage: Bacteria; Pseudomonadati; Bacteroidota; Flavobacteriia; Flavobacteriales; Flavobacteriaceae.